AAUUAAACAAUUAUGUACAGAAUUAAAGAAAUAACCAAAGAUGAUAACUCGAAUUAACGGUAAUAUAAUUAAUAAACUUCAAUAUUUAUGACAACCACAACCCUAGAACGCGAAAUUUAGCUCUACAUAGACAUGGUAGCAAAAUAACAAUUCAUCCAAAGAAACGUAAAGUUUACUGAGUUUGAUGGAAGAAAGAUAGAAUCUGAUGAAUUUCGCCCUCUACGGCGGUUCCGUGCUCUCCCUUGGUCCAAUCCCCCCCUAAAAAUGAUAUUUAAAAACUAUUUAUAGAUAUAGGGAAAAGCCUAGGCAAAAUAACCAAGUCUAAAACCAAAAAGAAAACAAACUAACUUUGAAACCCGGACCCGUGCAUCAAGGUGUGAAACACGCGAACGUCCCCGCGCCGGACCUGGCCUCGCGACCUUAAACGCGCGAGAAUUGGCUCGCGUCGCGCCACUAUAUGCAAGGAUAUCUCCUGCGUCGUUACUCUAAUUUGAUUUCUUUUGUUAGUGCUUGUUGCCUAACUUUCUUUCCAAGCUUCAUGCAAUCACAACCAACAUUGUUGCUUUUCCAGGUAAGUUCUCUUAAGCUUCUUUUUCGUUAGUUUCUCCUUUUGCAUGUUUUAUCUUUGUCCUCCAAUUUCUUUGUGCACUUUGCUCCAAAUUCUUUUCUUUUUAACGUUAAUUUGCAUGCAAACUCCCCAAAUCAUUUCCAAUUGACUCCUGCACAUAAAAAUAUCGUUAUUAAGCUCGAGUCAUAAAUAUUCACAUCAAAGUUAACAAGAUCAAGGUAUAAUGCAAGGCAAAUUACAUGCAAAAAUAUAGAAUUUUAACCAAACAGCACCACUCCACACUUAAACGUUGCUCGUCCUCAAGUCAACUAACAAUUCAUACUAUCCUUGAGCACUUUAUAUUUACACAAUCGAGGCACACUACACCAAUGACCAUAGUUGAUAGCAACAAUUAAACUGUAGCAUAUGCAAUCACUUACACGUCCCUUAACUUAUGUCAUUCUUCAAAAAUAUUCACAACAAAGACGACAUGCUUAUAACAAUCCUAGCCUCUAAACCGACUCAGUGUCACAAUGCACUCAUGGCUUGAACACCCAACAUCCUAGACAAGUCUAAUAACGUUACAUAUCCCUCAUGAAACUAUGUGCCCUCACAACAAGAACAAAAGAGUAAGUUGAAUCCACACACUUAAAUCAAAUGCUCAAAUAUAUUUUAAUGACUCAUAUAUAUCAAAGAAUACCACUCACUCUCACAAAAGAAGUCACAUGCAUGCAAUUGGUACAAUAUGCUUGCCCUUAUUGUAAAUCUCUACUAAUGUAGGCUCACUCGNNNNNNNNNNNNNNNNNNNNNNNNNCACAAAAGAAGUCACAUGCAUGCAAUUGGUACAAUAUGCUUGGCCCUUAUUGUAAAUCUCUACUAAUGUAGGCUCACUCGAUCUAAAAUCAAUUAGGACUUUUUCAUGGUUGUAAUGUGGGCUAAGGGACGGGUAGGAUAUAUAUAGGAAUAGUGGCUAGUCCUCCUAAGCAUUUUAAUACAUUAUGUCACACCCCUUUUUAACCCCCCAAAAGAUGUGUUAUGGAUUGUUGUGGGUUAAAGAGUGUUUCCAAUUAAAGUGACAAACUUGAGUAUGGAUUAUUUUAUUUAUAGAGUCGUCAUUUGGAAUUGAUUUUUCGGUGUCUCAAGUCACCUUUUAUUUGAAUCCCUAGUCAAAGGAAGGUUUGACUCUUUUAUUAGUGAUCUGCAAAAACAAAGUCCGGAUAAGGAAUUCUGUUGACCGGAAAGAAGGUGUAAGGCAUUUCCCGAGUCCCGUGGUUCUAGCACGGUCGCUUUUAUUGACUUAUACUUAGCUUGAAUUAAUUUUGGACAAACUGUGUUUUAUAUGAUUUUUAAGUUUUUCCUAUGUCCGCUUUUAUUGCUUGAUUAUUAGAAUUACUAAAGAAUGACUUGGAGAAUAUUACGUUGUCAUGACCACGCUACGCAAGCGAAUGCAUGAUCGAAAACGAAAUUAAUUAACUUAUCAUAAUCGCAUCUCGCAAGAGAAUCCGGAAUCAUGACAAUCAAAUAAUUACAGUACUUUUGAGAAAUUACUACAUUUGUGAUUAAGAAAAUUAGUUUAGAAAAUUAUUAAAUAUCAUUAUCGCGCUACGCAAGCGAAUCCACGAUUAGAACAAGAGAUUAAUUAAAUUAAAAAAUAAUUAAACUAUGGAGAUUAUAGAAUUAAUUUACUAAAUAUUAAACAUCAUGCUACGCAAGCGAGUCCGUGAAUAAAAAAGGUUAAAGUGCGCCUACUAGUUGCCUAGCGAUAUUGUUAAUUAUUUUUUCUAAACUAAUUUUGAGAUUUUUUUAAAGUCAUGAGGUAUGAAAUUUAUUGUGGAGUAGUAUGGAAUUUAAUUAUCAUGAUUAUUUACAAAAUGAAUUACUCUCCUAAGUUGUGAAAAGUAUUUUCAAUUAACUCAAACCCCAAACAUCCCGAACCCUCGAUGGACAAACUGGCUUAAAGGCCUAAUCCUUCUUAUGCUAACAUAAUGAAAACAUCACACUAACAUGGAAUUUUAUCAAGCAAAACAAGGAAACUGUUAUAAACCACUCAAAAUCACAUGAUGCAUAUUAACAUAGUUUAUGCUAUUCAUUUAAUUGACGAAGGAUACGGGCGCACAAAAACGGAAGAGAUUAACAUGAAGCAUAUGGGUAACUUAAUUACGAUAAUGAAUGGGAAAAGCAUGGUAAAAACAGAUUGAAACAAAAUGAUUAAGUAUUCAUCUAAACUAACGAAAAUUAUCUGAAAUAAUUAAAGGGAAGAGUGAACCUUUUAUUGCUGAAAUUUCCAACGUAUACAAAGGGGCGAGUACCAAAAGAAACAAUAGUUACUAAUCGAAAUUUCGAACCGGCGACGGAACCUCAAACUGAAAAUCACGACUUGCAACCUCGAUCGAUCUUGCAAAAUCGGUGAUUUAGUGGCUGAUUUUUGCUGGUUUGAAGCCGUUUUUGGGGGGUGAUUUUGCUGGUUUUGGCUGAGUUUUUGGCUAGUGUUAGGUGGUGACGUUUUGGUGGUUAAAAGUGCGAAAAUGGCCAGCCUUCGUGGCUGUUUUGGAGCUGCUUUUCAGGAGUUUGGGAGCUGAUUUCAACUGAUUUUUGUUGCUUUUUUGGUUAUUUUUGCAGCUGAUUUUUGCUGGGAAAAGGGGUUAUUUUCUUGCUGAUUUUUAUGGCCUCCUUUUGCUGAUUUUUUCCCCAACAACUAUAUAGAGGGUUUUGUUUUAUAAGAGAGAUGAGAAAAAAUAAAUGAAUAUCGUGUGUGUGUCCGUGAAAGAAAUGUGGAUAUAGGGAUUGUGAGUGG
RNAcentral lists this long non-coding RNA (3341 nucleotides) under Nicotiana tabacum (common tobacco). Its description in RNAcentral is "long non-coding RNA (NTAB_LNC009043)". Lineage: Eukaryota; Viridiplantae; Streptophyta; Magnoliopsida; Solanales; Solanaceae. The record is from RNAcentral.